GACGAACGCUGGCGGCGUGCCUAAUACAUGCAAGUAGAACGCUGAAGGAGGAGCUUGCUCUUCUGGAUGAGUUGCGAACGGGUGAGUAACGCGUAGGUAACCUGCCUGGUAGCGGGGGAUAACUAUUGGAAACGAUAGCUAAUACCGCAUAACAGUAGAUGUUGCAUGACAUUUGCUUAAAAGGUGCAAUUGCACCACUACCAGAUGGACCUGCGUUGUAUUAGCUAGUUGGUGGGGUAACGGCUCACCAAGGCGACGGUACAUAGCCGACCUGAGAGGGUGAUCGGCCACACUGGGACUGAGACACGGCCCAGAAUCCUACGGGAAGGAGCAGUAGGGAAACUUCGGCAAUGGACGGAAGUCUGACCGAGCAACGCCGCGGGAGUGAAGAAGGGUUUCGGGUCGGAAAGCUCUGUUGUAAGAGAAGAAAGAGGGUGAGAGUGGAAAGUUCACACUGUGACGGUAUCUUACCAGAAAGGGACGGCUAACUACGUG
This 495-nucleotide ribosomal RNA is filed under the name uncultured bacterium. RNAcentral's name for it is "partial 16S ribosomal RNA". It matches the Rfam family "Bacterial small subunit ribosomal RNA", at positions 28 to 507 of the family's 1533-position model. The record is from RNAcentral.